RNAcentral lists this ribosomal RNA (864 nucleotides) under uncultured bacterium. Its description in RNAcentral is "bacterial SSU rRNA". It matches the Rfam family "Bacterial small subunit ribosomal RNA", at positions 28 to 896 of the family's 1533-position model. The record is from RNAcentral.
AAUCAACGCUGGCGGCGUGCCUAACACAUGCAAGUCGAGCGAGAAAGGGGGGGCAACUCCCUGAGUAAAGCGGCGCACGGGUGAGUAACACGUGGGUAAUCUGCCCUGGAGUGUGGAAUAACACCGGGAAACCGGUGCUAAUACCGCAUACGAUCAUGAUGUCUGCGGACGUUGUGAUGAAAGGAGCAAUUCGCUCCAGGAGGAGCCCGCGGCUGAUUAGCUAGUUGGUGAGGUAAUGGCUCACCAAGGCUACGAUCAGUAUCCGGUCUGAGAGGACGGCCGGACACACUGGAACUGAGACACGGUCCAGACUCCUACGGGAGGCAGCAGUGGGGAAUUUUUGGCAAUGGGGGCAACCCUGACCAAGCAACGCCGCGUGGGUGAUGAAGUCUCUUGGGACGUAAAACCCUUUCGACGGGGAAGAAACCGCAAGGUUGACGGUACCCGUAGAAGAAGCCCCGGCUAACUCCGUGCCAGCAGCCGCGGUAAUACGGGGGGGGCAAGCGUUGCUCGGAAUUACUGGGCGUAAAGGGUGCGUAGGCGGUGCUCUAAGUCGGAUGUGAAAACUCUGGGCUCAACCCAGAGCCUGCAUCCGAAACUGGAGUGCUAGAGUUCUGGAGGGGGUAGCGGAAUUCCUGGUGUAGCGGUGAAAUGCGUAGAUAUCAGGAGGAACACCGGUGGCGAAGGCGGCUACCUGGACAGAAACUGACGCUGAGGCACGAAAGCUAGGGGAGCAAACAGGAUUAGAUACCCUGGUAGUCCUAGCCCUAAACGAUGGAUACUUGGUGUGACCGGGAUUGAAUCCGGUCGUGCCGAAGCUAACGCAUUAAGUAUCCCGCCUGGGGGAGUACGGUCGCAAGGCUG